GUGCCUCUAGCUGUACCUCAUGUAAAAUCUUGCCUACUGCGUGCAGCCGCAACCUGAAAAGGUCCGACGGCCGGGAUGAGACAGCUUCUUCACGGGUCAACAAGGACAAAUACCAUCGCAUCUUGUCGACUCCCGUAGUCUCUUGCAGCCAUCUCUACCGAACAAGCUGAAUGCUCCUAAAUGUCUCUCUGAAUUAUGAGCCAGGUACAGUAAUACCAAAACGCCUCGCAGCAUCGCAGGCGACGUUAGCCGAUGUUAACUGACGACCACGUAUAGCCUCAUGAUCCUUAUCCAUGGCAUGCAUUCGCUGGCAGGUAUACGUGAUACAUCGAUCCGCGGCCGGUAUGUACCUCGGGCACGCCGCAUGUGACCGAGAUCAAGGACCACAGGCAGACACGAGUCUACCAAUCGAUCGGCAUUCU
This 422-nucleotide long non-coding RNA is filed under the name Setaria italica (foxtail millet). Its description in RNAcentral is "long non-coding RNA (SITA_LNC007360)". The record is from RNAcentral. Lineage: Eukaryota; Viridiplantae; Streptophyta; Magnoliopsida; Poales; Poaceae.